Molecule: transfer RNA, 85 nt
Organism: Felis catus (domestic cat)
Lineage: Eukaryota; Metazoa; Chordata; Mammalia; Carnivora; Felidae
Rfam family: tRNA
About the family: Transfer RNA (tRNA) molecules are approximately 80 nucleotides in length. Their secondary structure includes four short double-helical elements and three loops (D, anti-codon, and T loops).
Source: Rfam
GCCUGGGUGGCUCAGUCGGUUGAGCAUCUGACUUCGGCUCAGGUCAUGAUCUCACGACUUGUGGGUUUGAGCCCCACGUCAGGCU